UCCCCCUUGUGGUCGGUGUACAGGUGGUGCAUGGCUGUCGUCAGCUCGUGUCGGGAGAUGUUGGGUUAAGUCCCGCAACGAGCGCAACCCUUGUCCCGUGUUGCCAGCAGGCCCUUGUGGUGCUGGGGACUCACGGGAGACCGCCGGGGUCAACUCGGAGGAAGGUGGGGACGACGUCAAGUCAUCAUGCCCCUUAUGUCUUGGGCUGCACACGUGCUACAAUGGCCGGUACAAUGAGCUGCGAUACCGCGAGGUGGAGCGAAUCUCAAAAAGCCGGUCUCAGUUCGGAUUGGGGUCUGCAACUCGACCCCAUGAAGUCGGAGUCGCUAGUAAUCGCAGAUCAGCAUUGCUGCGGUGAAUACGUUCCCGGGUCUUGUACACACCG
RNAcentral lists this ribosomal RNA (385 nucleotides) under Streptomyces rochei. Its description in RNAcentral is "bacterial SSU rRNA". It matches the Rfam family "Bacterial small subunit ribosomal RNA", at positions 1014 to 1392 of the family's 1533-position model. The record is from RNAcentral. Lineage: Bacteria; Bacillati; Actinomycetota; Actinomycetes; Kitasatosporales; Streptomycetaceae.